Long non-coding RNA from Cynara cardunculus var. scolymus (artichoke), 398 nucleotides. RefSeq lists it as uncharacterized. The record is from RefSeq and is a predicted model, not a curated record. NCBI's taxonomy places the organism in Eukaryota, Viridiplantae, Streptophyta, Magnoliopsida, Asterales, Asteraceae. The transcript is spliced from 2 exons.
GAAGAAAAAUCGGACACAAAGACGGUCCUCUGAGAGCAGAAGGGCGCCAUUUUUGCCGACCAAGAUGGAAUGAUUUUCUUGUUGUUCUCGCAAAUCAUAACUGUGGUGAAUGCAUAGCUUGACAUCUGAGUCGAGUUGCCAUGAAUAUGUAUAUGAUAUCGGGUUAUUUGAACCCGAGGCAGGUAAGAUGAAGGGCAUUUGAAGGCCAAGCUCCUAAUUGAAAACUCAUUUAAAGUCGUGCAUUCAAAAGACCCUAUUCUAAAUAGUGUUAUAAAAAGCUCGCUGUAGCAGCUGUCACUCAAGGCUUGUGUCUAAUGUAUGCAUGAUUUCUGUAACGCUGUAUUUGAUUUUUCUUAUCUUUUUAAUGUCUUACUUGUUAGUUUUAGUUAUAUACUCUA